AGCUGUGUCUGUGUGAGCUCACUGGGCUCUGACAGCAGGGAUCAAAACAACAUGUGAACCAGCCACGACACGGACCACCAUCAAAACAAGCGAGCACCCACGACAAGUCUCCCAUAGCUACAUCACAAGAGAAGCUGUGAUGUACCAUGGGUAGCUGACCAAGGAAAGACACCCCACCUUGCAAUGUGCUGCUUUAGCUUCCCAGCAUAAGAAAAACUCCAGCAAAGGAAAACAAACGAAGCAGAGAAGACAAACGGAACGAGUGCGGUUUCAAAUCCCUCCGUCAAAUGUGACCUGCUAGAAACUUUGAAACAAACAGAUGUACACACUCCUCAUCCCUCAAGCAGUUCCUCUGUAGCAGCAGUAUGUCUGUCAGUUCUUUCAUCAUGUUAUGAAAUAAGAAGAGAGCACAAGAGGAACCUGUUGCUGGGCUAUAAGACCAAAGCAGCCCAGAGAAAAAAUGGUAAUGCAAGCAAGAGCGGCGGCAGGGGUCUGCCGGGGUGUAACCAUAGCUGCUAAACUCGCAUUCAGGCCUUUUCCAGAGCAGGGCUCAGAGUAUGCAGACGACCUAGGGGCUAGAGACUUAGGGAGGACUUUAAGCUUCUUUGUCAAGCUCCUCGGAGCUCAGUCGACUGCUGUGAAGAGGCCGAAGCAUGCAGCUGUCUAGCAACAAGAAACCCCUCAUACCACAGAUACUGGCCUGUGGUUAAGGAGUGUGAGUAUGAAAGUGUACGUGGUUCAUAUUGUGUGACUCAACAUGUGGGUCUGAAUUUGUGAAAGUGCACCGCUGAUGAGUAUCACACCAGGUGAGACAUGUGUUUGGAAGGCUUAUAACAUGCUUUUAAUAUUUAGAUUUAAGACUUUAUAACACAAGUGUAACACCAAAUAUACCGUUUGUCUGUGAAAACAUGCAACUGUAAAGAAUUGCUUUACAUUUUAUAAACACACCACAUCUCCAUUUGUGUCAUUAAAACUACGCUUAACGUGUAAGUAAUGAAUCAAACACCUAUUCAAAGAAAGACACCCAGUUAAACUGUCUAACUCAGACUACUAAUCCCUGAUUUAGAGAGGUAGGUACACUUAAGGACUUAAGCAAUUUCACAUGGAAUAAGGAUGGUGGAUUCUGUCUUCUGUCACAACGCUUAAAUUGCCUUUAAAGUGGGAUUUCCGUAUGGCUGCUACAGGCGAAAGGGAUGACAACAGCCAGCAAUAACUCUUUCAGUGUCCAUGUAGGCAUGUAUUAGUUUUAUUUUGAUAUGAAAAACAGUGAAACUAAUUGAUCAUGAGCCUUCUUUUCUGGCAAUUGUAACGGCCAAUAUAUUAUAAAAUUGUAGAGGCAGUAUAGCAGUGACAGUGAUUUAUCAGUAUAUGAGGUUUCUUAUAGGCCUCAUCUACAUAAAGUACGGUCCUUACAACGAACACAUCAAUAUGCAUGACUCAUUCUCGAGUCUUGUGACAUGUGGCGCAGACAGAGCCACAGACAUUGGACAACACAGUAAACCUAAGCGCUGUCUUUCCAUGACAGUAUUAUCAGUGAAACUAACACCCUCUUUGGAAUGCCACAAACCUGCCUGGAGACAUGGAGCAGCUAGUUUUAUGAAGCCCAUCCCUGCACUGCCCCAAAUGAGCCAUGGUGAAUUCUCCACCGCCAGUCAAUCCCUGGGGAGGCAGUCAAGAAAACCCUAUUAUAUUUGGGGGCAGGCACCGCUCAAACUGACAGCAACUGCUGCGACAGCAAAGCUCGCGGAAAGAGGGAGAGAGAGGGAGGUAUGUUCACCAUCUCUACGUGACAACAGGCUAAAUUGCUCACAAGUUGGUCUCAUUUGCUUUGCAUGGCGAUUGUGCACAAAGAACGAUGCACUUUGCAGUUAAAGAUGAACAAACCUUCUGAAUUAUGCUAACAGCCCCGAGUGCUCGGGCUCCCUCGUCUUACAAGUGCUUCAUCAGUUUCACACAAAACCCAAAGUAAAAAUCGAACCAUAAAUACAAAUUAAGCUUUGCGCUUAAAAACAGCUGCUGAAUUUAUUUGAGUGCUAUAUGAUUAGCUAACUAAAAAAAGCUACCUUCAUUAAGUUGCACUUUUCCAGAUGUCUCUCUACGCUCAAACCAUUGGGCUCCCCAUUGUAUGCGUCUGCAAUUUAAGAUCAGUUAUUAAUUUUAUAGUCCACUUAAAAUAGCCGCACCUGUAAUUAGAAUCUUAAAUUGCUAAACGGUGCACACGCAUGUGUGCGUGCAUGCACACACACACAGAAAACCACAAACUCGUCAUGGAAUAUAACCAAAGCAGGGAAAUUACCGCAGCGCGUACGUCUGGAAGUCCCUUCUCUGUGAAAUGCGUAUGAAACAUUAAAGCAACAGCAAAAAAAAGUAGCAUGAACAGAGUGGAAGCUUGGGAGGACGCGAGUCCACAAGUGCUGGUUUCAAUCUGAGGGAUAACAUGGAAAAGGUCAAGUCUGAGUCGGCAGAUCACACAUAAUCACCUCCCACACAAUGCUGCUGCCCUAUUCCACAGAAGCCUCCUGAUGAGAAGAGUAGAUAGACAGACAGGAAGAGGCUGACAGAUAUAGGGCAGUGGAGGGAGAGAGAGAGAAGGAAGGAGAGGAAGAAAGGCCCGAAUAAGAGGAGAAUGAGGCAUUAUCAUUCCGAGCAUCAACCCAAUAGCAGAUGGGCAGCUUGUCUGUCUUGGGCUGUGAAGGAGUGGCGUGUGACCCUGUUCACCCCAGGCCUAAUGAAAGAUUGACUGACUGACUCACCUCACUAUGCCAGCGUGUAUGUAUGCUCGACCAAAUAUUAUUGGAUGCAGGGCCUGGAAAUGAUCUAGGAGCUUAGAGAGGGAGGAAAAGACGAACAUUGCAGAACAGUGAUUGAAGGCAGGGCCACAAAGUGAACUAAUCUGAAAAUGAACAGUGGUUCUGUGUUACGGGCAGACCACAGCGCAGUGAACUGAAAAUAAGUGCGGUCGUGCCAUGCUUUGACAUGCAACUGAACACAAGGCUGUGGAGUGAUGCUGAAGCUUAUUUCAAAUCACAGUCUGUGAUUUAAAAACUACAGAAAGGGGAAAAAAGAGUACUUGGAGCAAAACUGGAAUUGCACAAGUUAUUAUACUGUGUUUAGAAUUACACAAAAAAAACAUAUAUUGCAAGUAAUUCUUUCUGUGACUAUGAUUGAAUGGAAAAUCAGAACUGUGCACUCUCUCAAGCCCAAACCAAGUGUAUACUGAGCAACCUUGGUUAUGUAAAAAUCAUCUGUACAUGCAACAAAGUUUGAAUGGCUAAUGCUUGCUUUGUGCUUCUACAAGUAUCACACAAUUAAUGUUAUCCUGGAGGUCAAACAGGAAAGAUAAGUGGCUAACCUCAACUGAAUGCAAAUAGCCCACAUGCAUACGAGGUGAGCUACUGACAGGAAAGGACUCAUUUAAGUGCCUUAUGAAAGGAACAUUUCUAGAGAGAAAGGUGCAAAAACACAAUUGUUCAGUGUAGUAAUUAAUUGUUACUCCCACGGUCUCUGGUUCUAUAUUCUUUAUCACAACAGCAUAAAAAGACAGCAUUACUGUAAUAAUUCAGGUUUUAAAUAAUGUUCACUGAAUGAAUUAGGUUCUCCAAAUCAGGUGUGUGCAGCUUAAAUCAUGUCAAAAUUAAUAAUGAAUUCCCACAGACAUUAAGACCGGUGACUCUUUUUGGCAUAUCCAAUUAGUUCUUCAGUGUCGUCUGGGUGCCUUUACAGUGUCAAUCAGCAGGCAGUAAACAUUGUCUUUCAGCAGCAGUCUACCUCAGGGGCACUGCCUUUAAACAACAAAGUCAGCUCUUUGAUACCUCCCCUUCUCACCUUUCAGCACAGCCAUCCCCAGACGUAAAAGCACACCUUCCCAUAAAACACCGCCACAAAACACUAAUACACCCUCUUUUUCGACUUUACAGCCUCUCGUCACACAAUUACCCAUGAUCACACAAUCAGCAUUUCGUUUUACGACUCAGACCUGAGCUGAGUGUAUGUAUUUUGAGAGAGCGCGAGCAAGUGAGUGAGGGUCCGGAUGGGGUUUGUGCAGGGGGAAAAAAAAAAAGAAGGCAUAUUUAUAUACAGACGGACAAGCUCACAUAGAUGCAGACAGGGAGCUGAGCAGACACAUGCACCCAAGCACACACAAACGGAUCUUCCCCUCUGCCUGCUGUCUCUCUCUGUGGCCUUUCUCUCCUUGCCCUUAGCUGUUUCCCAGAUUCCAGAUGACGUCCUGACAGGAGGGCUGAGUGACUGGAGGUGAGGCUGUGUGAUGACAGACCAGGGCCUUUAUCAGUGACCAGCACACUGCCGGCUUGCUGUUUGAAGAUUAACUGGCAGAUUGAAACCCAAAACUGCUCUCAUUCCUGCUUGACUCCCUGCCUCUUUACAUAUUUUCCCUUUUUUUUCUCUCUUUUCUUUUUUUCUUCCUUUUAACCCCUAGCUCACUGGCUGUAGGAACUCACUGGGUUUAAUGUAAUUGGCCUAUUUCCUGCAUAUGAAGUUCCCGGUUUGUUGUAAUUGACUUGGUCUUUUAUUGGCUGUGAGACAGGUUAAAUGGGAACCAAAUGGAGAGGCAACACAGGAAGCUUAGGCCCGGGCUAUCUGAUACUCAUCAAAUCAGUCAACCUGGAUGCAGAACAGCAAAGUGCUGAGAAUGUGGCCGCAGUGAUUAGCAGCUGCAUAAGGAUUAGUAAGGUAGUAACAUAUUGGCAUAUGUUAGUCAAUCUUGGCAGUGAGUGAUGUUGUUAAGACGUAGUCUGUCCCACAAUAUGGCACUAGUUUACUGUGCAGAGGAGGAUAUUUUCAGCUCUUUUUCCACGUGGAGCUAUUUAUUUCUUAUGGGCAAAGCUGAAAUCUUAUCAGCCAAGGAUGUCAAGAUCAACUUCCUUUUUUAAAAAAAAAAUAAAAUUAUUUGAUUACGUUAUUUUGUAGCCUCAGCCGACUCAGUCUCUCUGCUGUUUCCUCUCAGCGGAGAAGAGGCAUGGAGAUAACCUUAUUCAGCUUGUUUCAUCAAAACAUCUCAUGCCACAGUAAAUGACAUUCAACAAAGCUGAUCUUCUGCUCUUUGAUGUUUGCCAGAGUAAAUGGACUAUCAAUGCAAAGUAUAAACACUCCUCUAUGCUAAUGUUCCUCUGGGGGUCUUUGAUGGCACCAGUAGUAUCUGUGAAGUGUGUUUUGAAAAAUUGCAUUGGUAAGCCAUCCAAAUAGCAAGAAUUAAAGCCUUUUCACUCACGGUGCCUUUUCAGCCAAGGGCGAAAAAAAAAAAAAAAUUGUACUCUGUAGUGGGAAAAUUGGAGCACAAACAAGGUACAGAGUAAGUGACUUGUAACAGACAGUACGGGCCAACCAAACUGGCAGUGUGGCAGGGGUCCAGUUGACUGCCAGGUGACAUCAUUUGGCAUUGUUUCACCACUCCAUUUAUUUUAUUGUGCUCAUUGUCCUCCCACAUUCACUCAAUCAAGUGGGCCUUUUUGUGCUGGUUGUUUAGGUAGUCCAGGUGCACCAUGCUAGUGGAGGCUUCCUGUCUCCCCAGAAAUCUUUUCAAUACCUCUCCUGCCGCGGGUAUUGUCAUAUCCCACAGUGCAUCUGAAAAGAAGCAGCAGCCCUGCGUAAAUGUCAGAGAGGUGAUUUGUUUUUAACUCUUAGCAGUCACCAAAUGCCUUGUGUGGGAGUCUGAGUGUGGGUGCACAAGUGAAUAAACACACAGCUGUCUCUCUGGAGCAUUUCCUCACUUUGCUGCAAUGUACAGUAUUUUAUAGUAGGGUUUACAGUGUGGCGCCCCCUGUUGAUAUGGUGCUUUUUUUAAACAUAGUAUUGACAGUGUGAUUUAAAGGUGUCCUUUGACUGUAACUACUGCAUUUUAUUUUAUACACAAUGAGCCAGCUAUGAGGGUUUUUCUCUUUUUUUUUUUGAGUGUUCUUUAAAUGCCUUGUUUUUAAUACAUCAGAGAAAGAACAAGUCUGGAUUUAUCACAUAAACUGGAGGAAAGAUGCUCCGGGCUUUCAUGUGGAGGUACAGUUUAUCUAGGAAAGGCGCCAGCAAAGUUUUCUUCAGAUGUAAGUUAAUUCCACUUCUCCCUGACACCCAAAAUAACAAGGUAUUAUUCAUUUAAAAGCGAGAAAAGACACUUUUCUGAUUGGCAAAGAAAGUUGGAAAAAAAAAUCAGUUUUAAAAAGUGUGAAAAGACUCAAAAUAUAGUGACAGCUUAAUCAUCUGCUCAUUAGAUUGGCUUAGUUUUUUCACCAGUAUUUUAGGAGAUUUCACACUUUCCAGCCGGGCCUAAUGUUUUGCAGCAAAGAGAUAAUUUAUUUUAGAUCACAGAGGUGCCACCGUUUCCCUCGCUGUGUUUUUUUUAGAAGGACAGAAGGACAAUGAGAUGAACUUUUCUAAUGACUGUAGCAUGAGUGAGAAGACUAGUAGAGACCAAGCCAAGGAGGAAGCCACAUAAGUAAAGCCAUGUCAAGUUCAAUUAGACCAGCUGAAGAGUUUAGCAGGCAGAGCUGACACAGUCCAAUUUGCCCAACAUAUUCAGCCCACCUUUUCCACAUGUGCUCACUGCUCACAGCUUUCAGCACCAAGUUUGGACAAAUAUUCACACUUUCCCACAUAAACCUCUCGGGGAAAGAUGCCCCGGACUUUCAUUUGGGAGGUGCAGUUCAUCUAGGAAAGCCGUCAGCCAAGCUUCCUCCAAAUGUACGUUAAUUCCACCCCCACUCUCUACUUGACAAAGUAUUAUUCCUUAAAAAGAGGGGGGGAAAAGACACUUAUCGGUCUAUUUUUUCUCUCCCCUUUCUCCUUUUUUCAUUCACCCGCAGCCUCUUUCUGUUGUACACACACCGAAACACACAGAGCUGUACCCUGUGGUGAAUGUCUCACAUAUGCCAUCCAGUUAGCAGGAUAUUUUUGUCUGUGUGAGUGGGCAGCGGUGUCACUCAGCGAGCUUUGAGCUUAGCGGAGGGAGAACUGUGAAAGCCAGUCACUAACAAGCAGAGAGAUUCCCUCCCUGCGUCCCACAGCCAGAUGGCUAAUCUGGGCAGAAUAGGAAACAUACUUUAUAAUCAGAUUUACAGAGGUGGAAAAAAAAAAAACAUACACAAACACCAUAACAAUUCAAAUGCCUUGUGGUCACAAGCUGUCUGGAAUGAGGUGACAACGACAUAAAACAAAGUCCCUUCAAAAUGGUUUCAAUAAUUAGACGGACUGGAGUGGCUUCGGUUAGCCUAUAAAACAACUGCCGGGGCUUGAGGCUGGUCCUGCAAAUUGGAAUCACUUGUGUCUCUGCGUUUGUGUCAGGUCAGCAUUAAGUGGAUGACAGCUGAAGAAAAAGAGCUAUUUAUUUAUUUGUUUUCUCCUUUAAGGAACGGGGCAGUAUCCAAGUCUCUUUUCAACCACUAAAAAAUACCAAUAAUAUAUACAUAUAAAACACUCUCCUUCUGUCUACCUCUGCCUGUGGCCUGAAUGAUGACAGGCAUGAUUCCUGCUGGUGCCCUGCCAGUGCAUUGCCCAAGGAUGCCCACGGGUGUUUGAGGCAGCGUAUCCAUUAGCUACCUGUGUAGACUGCUCCUCUGGGAUAUUCAGAGACUGAUGUCUGCUUUCCUUCUAUUGUUGAGACUCCUGAGCCACACAGACCAACACACGUGCACCUGAAGCCAACCAUCUGGCCAAGACGUGAGGACCAUGCUGCUGCAGCCUCCGAUGAGCUGACCACUUACUCCUCUUCCUGUCACUCAGCCUCAUCAGCUGGUGCUGUCAACACAGGUGGCAUUCCCUUAUUCCUUCUCUACUGAGGAAAGAAGAAGCCGAUGGAUAUAUUAUGCUUCAGGCUGUAAAUACAUAAUGUGAGCAGAAAAACACAAUCCGCUGUAUUACAACAUCUCUGCGAAGACUGUCCAGCUGAGAAAUUUAUGGAGUUGUUGCUUGUAUUGUUUUUAUAACAGUGUAAGGGCAAUAAAUGCAGAUUGAUUAGGCCAAGCUAUUAUAGAAUUUAAGUGGCAAUAUGUACAACAAAACCCCUAUAAUGUACUAAUUAAACUUGUUGGUUGCUUGGUUGUUGGCUGUUUUGGUGAAUAAGAGUAGCGUAUGUAUAUUUUUUGCUUUUCAACAAAAGUGCAACAUUUUUAGGCGGUUCUGAAUUGUGCAAAGAAUGCAAAGCCCAGUCAUUACUGUUUACACCAAAGUGUGGAAUCGGACACUUCAUGUUGAACACCGGGAAUAAGGAACAGCUGUUUGAUGGAGGAAAACUAAUGAUGUCAUGCCCAAAAACAUCAGCGGGGACACCAACACCACGGGGGCUGUCACUCAACAACAGAAUGUCAGCGGCAGAAGGGUCUCUGUUUGGGGAAGGCUUUUGUCAAUCAUCUCUAAGGUAGCGGGGAAGCAGGUGGGUCGGCCAAUCGCAGAAGGUCCCAGCACAGCAGGCCCGCGACCAGGAAGUGGAAGCGCCAUCUGGAGUGAGGAUGAGCUGUGAGUGGGCAUUUGAAACAAAGUAACGACAUGCUGGAAGAAAGCUGGUGGUGUGUGUGUCUCUGGAUAUAACAAGGGCAUUUGGAUUCAUGCUGCCUAUCACACCCACUCUGUUGCUGAUUCUACUAGUCAGAUGGUGCUUAUUAAAGAUGUGCACCAGCAGCCAUUCCUCUCAUAUAGGGGUUGAAGACCAGUGUGUGAUACCUAACUGGUAUGAUGGGUAGAAUACUGUUACUGGCAUUAAUGUGGCAUGCAAGACACUGUAACCCCCUACCCACACUGAUUAGGGAAACAGACCUUCCAUCACACACACAUAUAUUUAUCAUUGUAUUAAUGUUAUGAGCUGGCAAAUUGUCAACUGCGAAUGUUAAAGUGACACCCUGCUGGUGAAAAUAGACUGAAUAAAACUGGCAAAUUGAAAAUUAUGACAUGAGUUUGAUUUGGGGGAGAAGGGUGAAAAAAAAAUCCAUUAAAACAAGUUCUGCAUGGA
Molecule: long non-coding RNA, 8950 nt
Organism: Oreochromis aureus
Lineage: Eukaryota; Metazoa; Chordata; Actinopteri; Cichliformes; Cichlidae
Source: Ensembl